CGUUGUUCGCUCCGUUCGUGCCUAGCCGAGCUGGCAGCACAUAAUCGACAGAAGGCGUGGCUGGCGCGGCGGGGAAACCGCGUUCGAGUGGCCCAACAGGGAGCGUCAUCGAGACCUGCGCUUCACAGAGGACCGAGAGGCUGAGCGAUGGCACUCUUGUGUGCGGGAUGUCAGUACGUUACUACACCGUCUCGCUCCCCAGAGCAUACAUAGAGCCAGCAUUCAGUGUCACUGCUGUUGUCUUAAUAAAAAACUAAUCAAGAUGACAGGGCGCCGCUCAGGACCCCACUUUCUCCUGGCAUGUGGCAUGGCACCAACUAUGGCACGUUUGUGGACACUCGGACCUCCCGACUUCAACAGUGUACAACAGUGACAUCUUCCCGAUCCUUCAACAUCGCAUUUACUUACACUUGACAUCUGUGCAUAUUGUAGAUUUUCGCAUGCACUAACAACUGCAUUCUUCUUUCUUUAGAGACCUAUAAACUGAAAGGCGUGCUUUCUAUUUGACCAUGCUUGCAACAGUUGAGCAGGCCCUACAUAUCCCUAUUCAAAAAGACAAGGUUUCUCAAACUUAAAGGCUCCCAGAUUUGGUUUUUGAUUUGGCUUUUUCACAAACGUUUUGUGGCAGCGCAUUUUAAUAAAACAGCUACUAAACAUA
This is a non-coding RNA of Dermacentor andersoni, 658 nucleotides long. The record is from RefSeq and is a predicted model, not a curated record. Lineage: Eukaryota; Metazoa; Arthropoda; Arachnida; Ixodida; Ixodidae.